UCAAUUUCAGUACUUAAGGGUGCACCACCGGAGAUUAGUAGGCGAAGACGGCCACCGAGCCUUGCCUUGACCUAGAGCAAGGAAAUGCAACAAAAAGAAGUAAGAUACAGACACUGCCUUUUAUGAAGGAUCCAGCUAAACUAUGACCCGUGUAACCUUUGAAGAUUGAUGCUAGAAACGCUUGUUGACACAGUGGAUGCGAGAUAAAAUCCGGGACGGCUGUCCAACCACAACCUAAUCCCUCUUCCACGCGCAUCGGUUUGCGGACGAGCCAGAGGUACUGAGAUCAUGGUGUAUGUCAGAAACUGCCAAGAGUCACGCGGAAGGGUAGCACAAACAAUUUAGCACUGAUCUUCUGAACACCAGAGGACGGAGACGCAGCGACCCACGCACUCAUCACGGCCCAUCAACUUCACUUGGCCCUUUUAGUUGGAAGGACCCCGUUCGAGUAAAGUCUGAACCUACCAAGCUCUACCGAUUGAAUGAGCCAAUCGUACAACGAACAGAUAAAAAAAUCAGCUCAGCUCCCGGUAGAAGAACCUUGCUGUCAGCUCACUAGCUUUGCCAGUGACCUGACCUUGCUGCAGCUGGCGAAGUUCGCAUUGGAUGGAUGUCCCCAGCCGGGCAGCAGGUACCCCCAUUGAUCACACUUACCUACCACUCCAAUUCAUUUGCUAGCAUUGGUACCGUUACUAUUAUGAAAUGGUACGUAUUGUUUAUGGUCUGACAAGUAAGACUGAAUCUUACUGUAAAAUGAUUAAGCUAUUUUUUCGCCAAAAAAUGAUUAAGCUUGUUAACUCGGCUGUAGUUACUGUAAAAUGAUUGUACAGUUUGUCAAACAAAAAAGAAUGACCUGGACCUCCAGAAAAAAAGCACGCUCUUGGCCUCUAGUGUUUGAGGCAGGAAGGGUGGUUGACCGAUGACAGAGGCCGUGUCACCUCAUCCUGAUUCCGUCAACCGACUUGACCUGGACCUUUGACAUCCUCUUUAUUAGGCGGCUGGGUCUCUUAAACUCUGACUUGACUGCAAUCAACAAGUUGACGUUCGUGGCUAGUAGAUCUUUUUAUUCAUAAUUAUCGAUAUGCAACUUGUUCUUCUGCGAGGAAUGCAGGGGAAUCUUUCAAACUUGCAUCCGAAAUGUGAAAUGUUCAUACGGCCGGAAGGAAAAGGAGAGAUCAAGAAUAUGCAGCAGGGUUGGUUUAUCUUAGUUGGCUAGUCCUGAAACUUGCAUGGAUACAUUCUCUGAACUUGGCAACGCUUGCUCCAGACACAUGGUAACAACCAACUAACAAUAGUGCAACUGGUGGCCAGUGUGAGCUUGCAGCUUGGGACGCCAUUGAUGGCGGCGGCAUGGGUUACCUAAGGGUUCUCGCAUGUCCUGAUUCAUAGGCCGUGGCCGUGGCCUGGCUAGCAAGGAGCAUGUGUGGUCAUUUAUUUGGUCCGCGUAGGACAUAGGAGUAUACGAUAUGGAUUCAUAUGAAUUUAUUGGAGGUAUUUAAGGAUCAACACAUGGAGAUGUCUGUGCAACUCUGGGGCUCGGAUCCACAGAUCAUGCUUCCUUAUACCGAUCGGCUGUAACAUUGCACGUAGGACUCGACAAUUGCACAAAGUACUGUAGUAAUGAAAGAAGUCUCACUGCCCAUACCUCUUUGCAGGCUGUUCUGUCUUCGAUCGGCAUUGACAUUUGCCAUCCUGUCAACUUGAUAGUUAAUUAUUCCUCUACCAAACGCACAAAGUGCCUUUUUCCAAGCUCCGAUUGUGUUUCUCUUUUUUGUCCAGGGCUCAUCCGAUGUCAUUUCGUGAUGAAAUUCUGCGCCCUCCUAAAAAACAUCGAUUUUUAUUUAUUUUUCCGACAAGUAUUUUUGGACGGGAGGGAGUAUAUAUUAUUAGUAAGUGUUUUCUAGCCAUGCAUACCUCUGUGGUCUACUCAAAACCUUGCAUGUUUACCACAUCUACACGUACAUAUCAACAUAAGUAUGUGCUAGCUGACAAGUACGAGCAGCUGAUCUGAUUGCUGCGCAGCCGGCUGCUAUCCUGACCGAGUCCACGUGACUACGAGUCCACUGCAGUCGAUAUCAGCUCUGGUGCUCCUUGUCUUUUACCGCCUGCUCAUGCUGUUCUCUGCAGUACAUGGUACUCCUACCUACUGAAGAAAAUAAACAGAAGGUGCCCAUCCACCCGCAAGGGCAGGCCACAGAGGAGACGAGGGGAAUUCAAUGGAGCAGGCAAAGUGGAGAGGGAGGAAAUGCCAUUGCCACCCGCACUGUAGUUCCACUUGUGCCACCAGUGUAGGUGGUGCAGCUGGAGUUAAUUCUCCAUCAACCCAACUAGGGCGAGCAAGGGAAAGCAAGCAUGCGGCCAGCCUUGUUUCUCACCGGUGCAUUGCAUUGCAUGUCCUUCUCUCCUCAUCAUGGUUUCUUCCAUUCUCAUCCUGAGCAUGAAAAGUAGGAGAGUGAUGGCCUCGCUCGUCAUGCUCGUCACGUGGACCAUUUGAAGCGAAAGAAAUGCACGCUUGCUCUGUCAUAAGAGUGCGCUGCCGGCGGUCCUCCUCGCCAAUAUCAAGGAGGCCAAGCUAUGGGUAACUGCGGGUGCUAGAAAAUCGGGUCAUUUGAUGCCACGAGAGUAGUGAGUCACUGUUAUUCGGGGCGUUGCGGCACUGUCCGUGUUGUAACACAAAAUAAACUAUAUUCUUCUUCUUAAUUAAUGAAUGAGGCAAAUCUUUUGUACCUUGUUUCAA
Triticum urartu is the source of this 2737-nucleotide long non-coding RNA. RefSeq lists it as uncharacterized. Lineage: Eukaryota; Viridiplantae; Streptophyta; Magnoliopsida; Poales; Poaceae. The record is from RefSeq and is a predicted model, not a curated record.